Molecule: transfer RNA, 69 nt
Filed under: Sasakia charonda kuriyamaensis
Lineage: Eukaryota; Metazoa; Arthropoda; Insecta; Lepidoptera; Nymphalidae
Description: tRNA-Trp
Source: RNAcentral
AAGGUUUUAAGUUAAAAUAAACUAAUAGUCUUCAAAAUUAUUUUAUAAAGAAAUAUUCUUUAAGCCUUA